ACCUACUCUGAUUAAACCCAAAUAAAUUUCACUCAAAACAAAAAUUGUCCAAAAUAUUAGAAGAGGAAGAGUGAGAUCUGAUGAACCCUAGAUCUACUAGCCGCCACCAAAUUAAUCUCUUCGCCAUUGUCAGCGUCAAGCUCGCAGUACCGUCUGAGAUCAGAGGGAGAGUAAGUUCAUCGCUGCUCUCAUUCAUGUCUUGGUCGUUGUCGCCAUCAAGCUUCUACAUCAAUGUGUUGUCUCCUUCGUCUACAUGCAAUAAUUUUAAUUUUGAGAUCAAAGACACCAGAUCCAUCUCUAUGUUCAUGCUAUUCUCCAAUGGAACAAGUUGCAGCGCAUGAAUCUCACCGCAGUCAAAGACGCCGACAAAAUCAUGGAGAGGAACGUCGAGGACUCACUCGCGAUCCUCCCUCCUCUUAGGGAUUGCUACCGCAUGCGCUGCGGCGGCGCGCCGUCACAUGAGAAGCUUAGCCUCGUGGAUGUUAGAACAGGUGCUGGUCUUCCCGGAGUUGUUUUGUCCAUAGCUUGUCCAGAAUGGGAAGUUACACUAAUGGAGUCCAUGAACAAGAGAUGAGUAUUCUUGGAGCAUGUUGUUGGAAUUAUCGGUUCUCAAAUAUCCAGAUAGUAAGAGGAAGAACAGAGGCCAAAGGCUCUGAUUCUACAGCCACAAUAGGCACUAAGGCAAAAGUAUAUGCAGCUGAAGCAUCAGACAAAAAUGACCUUCAGGAAAAAAUUCUUCUUGCAACAGUUGAUGAUUAUAUAGAGCUGGUCAGAGCUCAUAUUAAUGCUGGAUCAAUGCAUCAUUUUACAUGCCGGCAGCUACUUCUGCUUGGUGCCAUGUUUAAUUAUUCUGAUGCUACAAAUAGGAAGUCUGCUAGUGCAUUUCUGCAGGAGCUGGUGCACAAGCCUCCUGAGAAUGAGAUUGAUAAUGAAGGAAAUGUGUUUGUCAUUGGAGAUGGAUUAAGUUUUGGUAGAGAUAAUGAUUGGGCUCAAGCAGUGGCCAGAUUGGCAAGGAAAGUCCAUGCUGCACUUGGUGAAUUUGAAGAAGUUGUUCUUGCUAUCAUAGAAGAGCUAGCUCAACCUUGUAGGGAGAGGAUAGCAGAUUAUGUGCAGUGGAUGCACUGUCUUUCUCUUAUUGGCCUUUUGCUGAGAAAUGUAAAGUCAAUGCGCUUGCUUCAGGGCAAGGCUAUUGAAAUAGAUGAACUACUUCAGUCUUUACUGCUCGCCAGGGUCUUGAUCAACGCAAUAUAGCAAAUGUUAUAUUUUGUUCAUGGAUAGCUGUUGGCAAUAUCCUGGGAUAUUCUGCUGGUGCUAGUGAAAAGUGGAACAUAUGGUUCCCUUUCCUGACAAAUAGAGCUUGCUGUGAAGCCCGUGGCAAUCUUAAGGCCGCAUUUCUUCUUGUUAUGGUGGGUUACUCUCUGAUAUCAUUUUAUGUAUUGUUAGAUCAUAUAAAAUAUGUAAAUUUGGUUGAUCUCAGUUGUUCAUUUCAUACCAAUUUGAUUGAUGUAAUUUGUUUAAAUUUCUAU
RNA transcript from Arachis duranensis, 1526 nucleotides. RefSeq lists it as uncharacterized. The record is from RefSeq and is a predicted model, not a curated record. NCBI's taxonomy places the organism in Eukaryota, Viridiplantae, Streptophyta, Magnoliopsida, Fabales, Fabaceae. The transcript has 7 exons.